CCUGUCACUUUGAAGUUAAUCUUCUCCCUUCAUCUUCAACCCCAGCCCUGAGUUCUAUAACACCUCAAGCCAGUAAGGCAUUCACCUUCUCCCUUGCACAGCUGUGAGUAGAUUGAAGAAUGCACUUAGUCAAAGAGAAUUGCUAAAGAAAGUUUUGGAAGCACACUGACUUGAUUUUAGUCAAAGUUUUUUCACUCCAAGCAAAAGAAGUAGAUUCACCAGCAUUUACUAUGUAGAUAUCUGGAGUUCACCG
Long non-coding RNA from Talpa occidentalis (Iberian mole), 253 nucleotides. RefSeq lists it as uncharacterized. The record is from RefSeq and is a predicted model, not a curated record. Lineage: Eukaryota; Metazoa; Chordata; Mammalia; Eulipotyphla; Talpidae. The transcript has 3 exons.